RNAcentral lists this ribosomal RNA (423 nucleotides) under uncultured bacterium. Its description in RNAcentral is "bacterial SSU rRNA". It matches the Rfam family "Bacterial small subunit ribosomal RNA", at positions 358 to 774 of the family's 1533-position model. The record is from RNAcentral.
AGAAUCUUCCACAAUGGACGAAAGUCUGAUGGAGCGACGCCGCGUGGGCGAUGAAGGCCGUGAGGUUGUAAAGCCCUUUUCUUGAGGGGGAAUAAUGCGGGCAGGGAAUGGCCUGCAGAUGACGUGAAUCAAGGAAUAAGCCCCGGCUAACUACGUGCCAGCAGCCGCGGUAACACGUAGGGGGCGAGCGUUGUUCGGAAUCAUUGGGCGUAAAGGGCGUGCAGGCGGCCGUGUAAGUCUGGUGUAAAAUGGUUGUGCUCAACACAAUCAUGCGCUGGAAACUGCGGGGCUUGAGUCAACGAGGGGAUGCCGGAAUUCCAGGUGUAGGGGUGAAAUCUGUAGAUAUCUGGAAGAACACCAGUGGCGAAGGCAGGCAUCUGGCGACUGACUGACGCUGAGGCGCGAAGGUGCGGGGAGCAAACA